This 69-nucleotide antisense RNA is filed under the name Actinobacteria bacterium OK074. RNAcentral's name for it is "ASpks TB sRNA". It matches the Rfam family "ASpks TB sRNA". Lineage: Bacteria; Bacillati; Actinomycetota; Actinomycetes. The record is from Rfam by way of RNAcentral.
CUUCAACGAGCCCAGCCACAGCGGCCGUUCGCGCUGCUGCCCGUAGGUGGCGAGGAGGGCCUGGGCCUC